GACGAACGCUGGCGGCCUGCUUAACACAUGCAAGUCGAACGGUAAGGCCCUUCGGGGUACACGAGUGGCGAACGGGUGAGUAACACGUGGGUGAUCUGCCCUGCACUUCGGGAUAAGCCUGGGAAACUGGGUCUAAUACCGGAUAGGACCCUGGGAUGCAUGUCCUGGGGUGGAAAGCUUUUGCGGUGUGGGAUGGGCCCGCGGCCUAUCAGCUUGUUGGUUGGGUGAUGGCCUACCAAGGCGACGACGGGUAGCCGGCCUGGGAGGGUGACCGGCCACACUGGGACUGAGAUACGGCCCAGACCCCUACGGGAGGCAGCAGUGGGGAAUAUUGCACAAUGGGCGAAAGCCUGAUGCAGCGACGCCGCGUGAGGGAUGACGGCCUUCGGGUUGUAAACCUCUUUCAGCACCGACGAAGCGCAAGUGACGGUAGGUGCAGAAGAAGGACCGGCCAACUACGUGCCAGCCGCCGCAGUAA
Molecule: ribosomal RNA, 478 nt
Filed under: uncultured bacterium
Lineage: Bacteria
Description: partial 16S ribosomal RNA
Rfam family: Bacterial small subunit ribosomal RNA
Source: RNAcentral